UGAGGAAUAUUGGUCAAUGGGCGAGAGCCUGAACCAGCCAAGUCGCGUGAGGGAAGACGGUCCUACGGAUUGUAAACCUCUUUGUCGGGGAGCAAUAAAGCGUACGCGUACGCAGAUGCGAGUACCCGAAGAAAAAGCAUCGGCUAACUCCGUGCCAGCAGCCGCGGUAAUACGGGAGGAUGCGAGCGUUAUCCGGAUUUAUUGGGUUUAAAGGGUGCGCAGGCGGAAAGUGCAAGUCAGCGGUCAAACGACGGGGCUCAACCCCGUCUCGCCGUUGAAACUGUCUUUCUAGAGUGAGCGAGAAGUAUGCGGAAUGCGUGGUGUAGCGGUGAAAUGCAUAGAUAUCACGCAGAACUCCGAUUGCGAAGGCAGCAUACCGGCGCUCAACUGACGCUCAUGCACGAAAGCGUGGGUAUCGAACAGGAUUAGAUACC
This 434-nucleotide ribosomal RNA is filed under the name uncultured bacterium. Its description in RNAcentral is "bacterial SSU rRNA". It matches the Rfam family "Bacterial small subunit ribosomal RNA", at positions 355 to 786 of the family's 1533-position model. The record is from RNAcentral.